Molecule: long non-coding RNA, 1371 nt
Filed under: Equus caballus (horse)
Lineage: Eukaryota; Metazoa; Chordata; Mammalia; Perissodactyla; Equidae
Description: lncRNA (ENSECAG00000046370.1)
Source: RNAcentral
GUCUAAGCUAGGAGAGAGGGCAGCCAAGGCAUACCCAGCACCUUGGGAAGCUCCCCUUUCUCAAGGACCCAGGAUUCUGGCCCCAGCAUCUCUUCCUUAGCCCAGGGGAUUGAGGCAUACAGGCACUCUGUCCUGAAACAGACCCCUGAAAGGAUUCCAUCAGGGCAUGAAGGGGCGGUGGUAGGAGUGAGGUGUCAGCGUCAGACACUUCCAUCUUGUGCCCCUCUCCCCAUUUCCUGAGUCCAACACUUCGUUCUUCUCCUGGAACCUGGCCAGAGUGCAGGGCAAUCUCCAAGGGAAGACACGCAGGGCACGGGCAUAGAGGUGUCCUGGAAGCCCUGGGAGGUGCCUGAUGCAAGACAGUGAACUUUGCAAAGGAUAGCCUGCCAACUGCCAAUUAGCACCUCCCUCACAGAAGCCUUGGGGGCUGACCACAGUCUGGGGUCUGCCUAAGGAGCGAUCCUUAGGACUGGCUUUGCCCACACAAAAAGAACUUUUCUCACUCCUCCAAUUAAAGAUUAUGAACACCUGUCUGGGCUAAAGACCUCCAGCCUCAGAGUCCAUUCCUUUUUUUUUUUCCUGCUUGUUCUCCCCAAAUCCGCCCCUCCCCGCCCCCGUAUAUAGUUGUAUAUUUUAGUUGUGAGUCCUUCUGGUUGUGGCAUGUGGGACGCCGCCUCAGCAUGGCCGACAAAUGGUGCCAUGUCUGCCCCCAGGAUCCGAACCACUGAAACCCCAGGCUGCCAAAGCGGAGAAUGUGAACUUAACCACUGGGCCACAGGGCCCGCCCGAGUCCAUUCUUAAGAGGAAGUAAUUACAGUAUAGACACUUAGAAACCAAGUCAACUUGGUUGUCAGCAAACUUCCAUCUGCUAACCCACAAGACCUUUCAACCUCUCCCUCUAUGGAAUAACUAAAUCACUUGCUUCACAAUUCAGAGGUUAAGCAGCGCAGGUCAUAGAGAAAGAAUUCAAGUUCAGGUUGUCUUGACCCAAAUUCCCUUUUCAGCCUGCAAUACAACUUCCCAACAGUUCCUGGUAGUUUGGAUGGAGGUUCUUAAGAUUCUUUUCCCUUACACAGCACAGGGAAAAAGGGAAACCAGUGUGAGGGUUCAGGAUGCCAGGGACCAUCAUGCUUGAGUUUUCUACAGGCAAACGGGUGAGUACACUGCUUUAUGUGGUUAAUAAUCUUCCUGCAGGUCUUACUCAAAGGAUGGCAAAUUUUUCACUUUUUGCACCAAAGCCACAUCCCCCCAACCCAAAUUUUAAUGUAACUAUGAAGAAAAGGACUCUCAACUCUGUAAGGGGUGUUAUCAAGAUAUUAUCAUCAUGGCCAUAGCAUUUCAAAGAACCCAACAAAUAAAGAGAAAAUCCUG